Molecule: long non-coding RNA, 204 nt
Organism: Ceratosolen solmsi marchali
Lineage: Eukaryota; Metazoa; Arthropoda; Insecta; Hymenoptera; Agaonidae
Exons: 4
Source: RefSeq, a predicted model, not a curated record
UUGAAGCUAAUGAGCUUGUACAUCGUAAAAUCAAAUAUGGAAUAUUUAAAACAUGCCAUAACUUUGAUUUUUAUAUUUACAUUAUUUCUCUUAGUUGAAUCUACGGAUUGCAACAAACAAUGCUUGGUUGAUUCUACUGAUUGCAACAAACAAUGCUUGGUGAAACAAGGACCAAAAAGAAGAAUGUGUUUACGUGACUGCGAA